This 73-nucleotide transfer RNA is filed under the name bacterium. Its description in RNAcentral is "tRNA-Trp". It matches the Rfam family "tRNA". From Rfam's summary of the family: Transfer RNA (tRNA) molecules are approximately 80 nucleotides in length. Their secondary structure includes four short double-helical elements and three loops (D, anti-codon, and T loops). RNAcentral also lists the same sequence under 3 other names. The record is from RNAcentral.
AGGCCAGUAGCUCAGUUGGUAGAGCAGCGGAUUCCAAAUCCGCAGGUCGCAGGUUCGACCCCUGUCUGGCCUG